UUGGAUUGCAUUUUUA
Molecule: small RNA, 16 nt
Filed under: Arabidopsis thaliana (thale cress)
Lineage: Eukaryota; Viridiplantae; Streptophyta; Magnoliopsida; Brassicales; Brassicaceae
Description: ATSL003910
Source: RNAcentral